RNAcentral lists this unclassified non-coding RNA (303 nucleotides) under uncultured Ascomycota. Its description in RNAcentral is "sequence contains ITS1". The stretch from base 1 to 105 matches the Rfam family "5.8S ribosomal RNA", at positions 50 to 154 of the family's 154-position model. Lineage: Eukaryota; Fungi; Ascomycota. The record is from RNAcentral.
GAAAUGCGAUAAGUAAUGUGAAUUGCAGAAUUCAGCGAAUCAUCGAAUCUUUGAACGCAUAUUGCGCCUCUCGGUAUUCCGGGAGGCAUGCCUGUUCGAGCGUCAUUGCAUCUCUCAAGCCUUGCUUGGUGUUGGGCCGGCAGUCCGGUGCUGGACUCGCCCCAAAGAUGUCGGCGGCGUCGCUCCGAUCUCAAGCGUGGUGGAUCUACUCAAGCUCGCUUUGGAGUUCGGUCGCCGCUCGCCGCAACGUCGUCCGCCUCAGGAUUUGACCUCGGAUCAGGUAGGAAUACCCGCUGAACUUAA